Molecule: ribosomal RNA, 1038 nt
Filed under: Triticum aestivum (bread wheat)
Lineage: Eukaryota; Viridiplantae; Streptophyta; Magnoliopsida; Poales; Poaceae
Description: partial small subunit ribosomal RNA
Source: RNAcentral
AUGGCCGGGUACCGGCGCACCAUCUCGUUCCCUACCCCGAAGGCGGCAGCCGCCGCCAACGGCAAGCUCGCGGCGGCCUACCGCGUCCGCUCCGCCAGCCUCCCCUGCCGCUUCCACCCGCUCGUGCUACAGCUCGACGACGACGUCGCCGCGCUGCGCCUCGUGCUCGGCGCGUCCUGCUCGGCGUCCUCCGUCUCCGCGGCCGCCUCGCACAUCGGCCGGGUACUGGCCUCGCUCUCGGACCUGCUCCACCACCCGCAGGCGCAGGAGCCGCUGCGCCGCCUCGGCAUGUCCCCGCUCGCCGAGCGCCUGCUCGACGACUUCCUCCGCCUCGCCGACGCGCACGGCAGCUUCCGCCAGGCGCUCGUCGCGCUCGCGGCGCUCCAGGCCGAGACGCGCGCCGCGCUGCGCCGCGGCGACCCCGGGCGGCUGGCGUCCGCGGCUCGCGCGCAGCGCCGCGCCGGACGCGACCUCCCCCGCCUCGCGGCCGCCGCCCGCGCCGUGGCCACCAAGACUCCCACGCCGCUCCCCGAGGAUCUCCAGCCCGAGACCGCGGCCCUCGGCGCGGCGAUCGCCGACUCGACCGUCGCCGUGGCGUCCGCCUCCGCGGCCGUCUUCUCCGGCGUCUCCUCCCUCUCCAACGCAGCCGCCGCCGCCCGCGUCGAGGUCGCCUCCACGCCGUGCUGGAUCACCGCGCCCUCAAGAUUCUCAUCCGCAUCCGCAUCAGACGCGCCAAGAACCAGCCACCAGCGCGUAUGGUGGGUGGCGGACCUCGUGCGCUGGAUGUCGCGCGCGAAGCGCCGGUCGGCCGGGAAACAGAGCAUCACCAACGAGGACGACGCGUCCACUUCCUCUACGGUGCAGCUCCGGCCCGAGGCGCGGAUGAAGCCGGAGGAGCGGGCGCGGAAGGCCGCACUCGAGCUCCACGACAACCUGGAGCGGUGCAUCGCCAGCGUUGACGGCAGCGGCGAGAAGGUGUUCCGGGCGCUGAUCAACACCAGAGUCUCCCUGCUCAACAUCCUCAGCCCAACCUUCUGA